This 1326-nucleotide ribosomal RNA is filed under the name Spirochaetae bacterium HGW-Spirochaetae-2. RNAcentral's name for it is "bacterial LSU rRNA". It matches the Rfam family "Bacterial large subunit ribosomal RNA", at positions 1298 to 2614 of the family's 2925-position model. The record is from RNAcentral. Lineage: Bacteria; Pseudomonadati; Spirochaetota.
AGGUAUGAGUACACGAAAAGACGGGUGAGACUCCCGUCCGCCGAAAACCUAAGGUUUCCUGGGUAAAGGCAAUCUGCCCAGGGUUAGUCGGCCCCUAAGAUGAGGCUGAAAGGCGUAGUCGAUGGGAAACUGGUUCAUAUUCCAGUACCGAUGCAUGAUUCGAAGGGAUGACGCAUGAGGUGAAACCCGGCCGGAGAACGGUUGUUCCGGUCGAAGCAGUAAGCCGUUGAGGGAGAUAGGCAAAUCCGUCUCCUGAGGUGAGCUGUGACAGCGAGUGGAGCUACGGCGAAGCGAAGCGGGCGUAAUCACGGUGCCAAGAAAGAGUCUCUAAGGUUAAGUCAUGUAUCGACCGUACCGUAAACCGACACAGGUAGGUGGGAUGAGUAAUCUCAGGCGCGCGAGAUAACUAGCGUCAAGGAACUCGGCAAAAUGCACACGUAACUUCGGGAGAAGUGUGGCCUUCUUUGGUUUAGCAAUAAGUUAAGGAAGGUUGCAGAGAGCAGGCCCAAGCGACUGUUUACCAAAAACACAGGUCUCUGCAAACGCGCAAGCGGAUGUAUAGGGACUGACGCCUGCCCGGUGCUGGAAGGUUAAGAGGAGGAGUCAACGGGUUUACCCGUGAAGCCCUGAAUCGAAGCCCCAGUAAACGGCGGCCGUAACUAUAACGGUCCUAAGGUAGCGAAAUUCCUUGUCAGGGACCCGCACGAAUGGUGGAACGAUUUGGGCACUGUCUCGACGCUAGACUCGGUGAAAUUUAAGUAGCGGUAAAGAUGCCGCUUACUCGUGGUUAGACGGAAAGACCCCGUGAACCUUCACUGCAACUUACUAUUGGGACUUGGUUUGACAUGUGUAGGAUAGGUGGGAGACUGCGAAGCAUGGCCGCUAGGUUGUGUGGAGUCGUCGGUGAAAUACCACUCUUGUCAGAUUAGGUUUCUAACCGGUGCCUUCAAUCAGGUAUCGGGACAGUGGUAGGCAGGCAGUUUGACUGGGGCGGUCGCCUCCUAAACAGUAACGGAGGUGCGCGAAGGUCACCUUGCUCUGGUUGGAAAUCAGAGCGCAAGUGUAAAGGCAUAAGGUGGCUUGACUGCGAGUCCGACAGGACGAGCAGGUACGAAAGUAGGUCUUAGUGAUCUGGCGGUGGCACGUGGAAGCGCCGUCACUUAACGGAUAAAAGGUACUCUGGGGAUAACAGGCUGAUUUUGCCCAAGAGUUCACAUCGACGGCAAAGUUUGGCACCUCGAUGUCGGCUCAUCGCAUCCUGGGGCUGGAGCAGGUCCCAAGGGUUUGGCUGUUCGCCAAUUAAAGCGGUACGUGAGCUGGGUUCAG